UUAAUAGAAGCCAAAAACAGAGGCAUUUUAUUGUUAAUAAAAAAAAUGAAUUUAAUUCCUAUUAAA
This 66-nucleotide transfer RNA is filed under the name Macropsis notata. Its description in RNAcentral is "tRNA-Asn". Lineage: Eukaryota; Metazoa; Arthropoda; Insecta; Hemiptera; Cicadellidae. The record is from RNAcentral.